Molecule: ribosomal RNA, 395 nt
Filed under: uncultured bacterium
Lineage: Bacteria
Description: partial 16S ribosomal RNA
Rfam family: Bacterial small subunit ribosomal RNA
Source: RNAcentral
AUACGUAGGGUGCAAGCGUUAAUCGGAAUUACUGGGCGUAAAGCGUGCGCAGGCGGUUUUGUAAGACAGUGGUGAAAUCCCCGGGCUCAACCUGGGAACUUCCAUUGUGACUGCAAGGCUGGAGUGCGGCAGAGGGGGAUGGAAUUCCGCGGGUAGCAGUGAAAUGCGUAGAUAUGCGGAGGAACACCGAUGGCGAAGGCAAUCCCCUGGGCCUGCACUGACGCUCAUGCACGAAAGCGUGGGGAGCAAACAGGAUUAGAUACCCUGGUAGUCCACGCCCUAAACGAUGUCAACUGGUUGUUGGGGAUUUAUUUUCUCAGUAACGAAGCUAACGCGUGAAGUUGACCGCCUGGGGAGUACGGCCGCAAGGUUAAAACUCAAAGGAAUUGACGGGG